This 113-nucleotide non-coding RNA is filed under the name human gut metagenome. RNAcentral describes it as "yjdF RNA". It matches the Rfam family "azaaromatic riboswitch aptamer (yjdF RNA)", at positions 6 to 91 of the family's 101-position model. The record is from RNAcentral.
CAGAGAUAAAAACACAGCGCAUAAUUUUUUAUGCAGAUCCGGUUGGUAGUCCGGACGUAUUUUUUAUUAAAAAUAUAAGUAACCUGCCUCCUUGGUUGUCCGUUCUUUGCGUA